Long non-coding RNA from Leptinotarsa decemlineata (Colorado potato beetle), 382 nucleotides. Lineage: Eukaryota; Metazoa; Arthropoda; Insecta; Coleoptera; Chrysomelidae. The record is from RefSeq and is a predicted model, not a curated record.
GGUUCGUUAUUUUAUCAGCAUAUUGCUGGGAUGGUGGGUUGUCUAGUAAGCAGGAGUAAAUAAAACCGAGGAGAUUUUCACGGUCAGGAUUUAAAAAUGAUUCAGAUUACUAUCUAUCGUAAAGCCAACACAAAAGCAAGGUUCUAGCAAGGAACUGUCCGAAACCUAAAAACAUCUAAGGUUUUUUGGACAAGAAUAAUAUCACGUCGAGCACUGUCAGACCUUUAAUUCAUUUUUUUUGGUGGUAAAAAAGCUUUCAAGGCAUAUUCAUCUGGUAAUGGGAGAAAUUCUUCGAAAAAGCUAUAGUUGCAUCAUACAUAUCAUUCUUCGAGAUAUGAGGAGACACUCUAGAAAGUACCAACGGAGAGCCGUAGCAAGUAUA